UACGAAGGGGGCUAGCGUUGCUCGGAAUGACUGGGCGUAAAGGGCGCGUAGGCGGCGUGCAUAGUCAGAUGUGAAAUUCCUGGGCUUAACCUGGGGGCUGCAUUUGAUACGUGUGUGCUGGAGUGUGAAAGAGGGUCGUGGAAUUCCCAGUGUAGAGGUGAAAUUCGUAGAUAUUGGGAAGAACACCGGUGGCGAAGGCGGCGACCUGGUUCAUUACUGACGCUGAGGCGCGAAAGCGUGGGGAGCAAACAGG
This 253-nucleotide ribosomal RNA is filed under the name uncultured bacterium. RNAcentral describes it as "partial 16S ribosomal RNA". It matches the Rfam family "Bacterial small subunit ribosomal RNA", at positions 524 to 776 of the family's 1533-position model. RNAcentral also lists the same sequence under 1 other name. The record is from RNAcentral.